Molecule: ribosomal RNA, 465 nt
Filed under: Vreelandella stevensii
Lineage: Bacteria; Pseudomonadati; Pseudomonadota; Gammaproteobacteria; Oceanospirillales; Halomonadaceae
Description: partial 16S ribosomal RNA
Rfam family: Bacterial small subunit ribosomal RNA
Source: RNAcentral
CCUACGGGAGGCAGCAGUGGGGAAUAUUGGACAAUGGGGGGAACCCUGAUCCAGCCAUGCCGCGUGUGUGAAGAAGACCCUCGGGUUGUAAAGCACUUUCAGUGAGGAAGAACGCCUGGUGGUUAAUACCCAUCAGGAAAGACAUCACUCACAGAAGAAGCACCGGCUAACUCCGUGCCAGCAGCCGCGGUAAUACGGAGGGUGCGAGCGUUAAUCGGAAUUACUGGGCGUAAAGCGCGCGUAGGUGGCUUGAUAAGCCGGUUGUGAAAGCCCCGGGCUCAACCUGGGAACGGCAUCCGGAACUGUCAAGCUAGAGUGCAGGAGAGGAAGGUAGAAUUCCCGGUGUAGCGGUGAAAUGCGUAGAGAUCGGGAGGAAUACCAGUGGCGAAGGCGGCCUUCUGGACUGACACUGACACUGAGGUGCGAAAGCGUGGGUAGCAAACAGGAUUAGAUACCCUUGUAGUC